GGGGCGUGUCCGGGGCGUGUCCGCGGGGAGGCGGCCGGGGCGGGCGGGGCGCAGACCCGGAGCGGAGCGCGGCUGGCUCGGCGCGCAGGGCCCCGCGGCGGAGGUAGGGCCGGGCGGGCGGGCGGGGGCGGGGGGUCCCGGGCGGACGCGGCCUCGGGGCCUGGGUCCUCGGCCCGGCUCUGGGCUCCGCCCCGGGGCGCGGGGGCGCGGGACCGUGUGGGGCUUGGGGGGAGCAUCCUGGCCCCGCGGCCUCGGGCUUGUGCCAACCGGGGGGGGGCGUGGGGGCCGGCGGGACCCCUCUCCGGGCCCGAGGCCGCAGGUGCCCCCGAACCCCGACGGGUUACGCAGGGCAGCGGUGCUGGUGGGAAGAGGAGGGCUCCGAGACCCCAAAGUUGGGAGGCGCCCGGACCCGACCUCCGCGGGGCCAGGGGGACGCUGGUGCCCCGCGGGGGGGAGCCGGGGGCGGGGGAGGCCGGGCCCUGCCGGGGUCACUGCGGCGCCGCUUCCCCUUAGCCCGGGCUGCUCCGCGCAUAGUUUCCACUGGGGUCUGUGCAGGCGGGAGGUGACUGCCCUCGGCCCGUGUCCUGCACACGUCAGCCCUGGGGCUGCCAAGGGCCUGAGGCGCCCGGCUGGGCUAGGGGCCUGCCCGGACCCCCGAGGGACCCCUGGGUCGGGUGCAGCAGGGGUCGGGCGUUCAGAGGGCGGGAGCUGCCCUCUGGACUAGAGGAUUUCCGAUUCUUUUUUCUUUUUUUAAGAUUUUAUUUAUUCAUGAGACACACAGAGAGAGGAGCAGAGACAGGCAGAGGGAGGAGCAGGCUCCAUGCAGGGAGCCCGAGGCGGGACUCGGUCCUGGGACCCCGGGGUCACACCCUGGGCCAAAGGCAGACGCUCCACCACGGAGCCCCCAGGUGUCCUGAGGAUUCCGGAUUCUGUCUUGGGUCGGGAGCAGCCCUCCUGGAGCUGGGCCCUCGGGCAGCAAUUUUGAUGAGGGAGGUGGAACCUCCCCUGGGGGGCUUCUGCCGGGCGCAGCCUCGCCUCCUUCCCGCUCCGGGCCAAGAGCACCUGUGGCUCACUUUCCUCACUCCCAGCUUCUUCGUGGAGAAGGGCCUCCGGGAAGCGCGGCGGGGAGGGGGGGACACGGGGUCGAUGCCUCUGGAAGGAGGGGCCCUUGGGUCGUGGCGCCCUCCGACUGCCCUUGGACAGAAACCCAGAUCCCCGCCUGGGCCCAAGGCCCCUCAAGCGUGGCCUCUGCUGGCCCCUUCCGUGUUACCUCCUGCCCCUCGCUCCUUCCUCUGUGGCCGCCGCGGCUCUGGAGCUGUUCCCAAGGCCCAGAACAUUCUCCCCCCUUCUCCGGGCUUUGCAGGACUGGCUCUUCCCGUUCCGUCAGGUCGAGUUCUUGAACACUUGAGACGUGUGAUGUCGACACGGACGCUGUCACAUACCGUUUGGCAGGUUGCUUUUUCCUCUCGGCCUGUGACGUCUGUGCUCACUCCGUCUUGAGCCGCGUGGACUGGGUGAGUGGUCAUAGGUGCCGACGGCCGCCCCGGGUGCGAGCCGCCCAGCCGGGUGCCCCGUCCCAUCCCCCACCCCGUGCUAGGCGUCUCUCAGCUGGGCUGCAGGUCGCCAAUCCCCUGCUCUUGGCUGCGUCCCUGUGCUGCGCCCUGAGCGCCCCUCCCCUCCGGGGAGCCCUCAGCGGGCCCGUCCCAGCCCCCAGCCCCCAGCCCAGGGGCCAAUAAUCAGCUAGGUUUGCAACACACGGCCAAGAUCAGCAACCUAAAAGUAGUGGUUCUUACAUAAGGCAGCAGGGGCAGCACUCCUCAGGAUGCCUGUGGUCUGAAGGGGGCAAGUGGCAUGUGACUCGGGGGGCCCCCAGCACCCCUCUUGUGCAAUGAAUGCAUGCAGCCUGCACCCUGGGCCCCGCUCUGGCUUCCCACAAGCCGUCUGACUUAGAGAACUGCAGCGUGGUGACCCAGAAAUGUGUGAUCUGCGUGGCCGGGCGCACGGAGGCGGCGGUGAGCUCAGCUCUCACCUGCUUCCUCUUCAGGAGUCCGAGCUGACUCAUGCACAGCGCGCCCUCGGGCAGCUUUGCAAAGGCUCCUCCGCUCACUAGCGACUCCCGACUCCCGGGACGCCUGUGCUCGCCCCGUCCCAGCACCGGGGCUGCUCUAGUGACCGAGAAAGGGCCCCUGGUCUCCCGGGGCGGGAGAUAGGAACCCCAGAGAGACAAGAAGACGCUCGGCCCUCCGAAGUCCCGUGGAGAGAAACACAAAGUAGGGUAACGUCUUGGAGAACGACGCCGGCAAGCGUUUUCCGUAGAGGCCAGGGGGCAUCCUAGGCUUCGCGGCCGGGGCUGUGUCCGCCGCGGCAGCACGAACGCCGCCAGGGACCCGGGUAGCUGAAAGGGUACGGCUGUGUUCCAAUAAAACUUUAUUUACAAAAAUAGGCUGUGGGCCAGGUGCGGCCCUCGGGCCCCAGUUUGCCGACCCUGUGCGGGGUUAGGGGAGGCUCCCUGAGCUGGGGCUGUCGCAGGGCCUUUCUGGGGGGAGAUGAGAACCCAGAGCCCAGUCAUAGGAAGGAGCUGGCGAGGGACGACGUGAUGGCACCUUGCUGUUGCUUCAGUGUGUAGCUGCCUGGUGAGACGGGGUGUGGGGGAUAAAACUGUGGAGCUGGGGCGCCUGGGGGCUCAGCGGGUGAGCGUCCGCCUUCGGCUCAGGGUGCGACCCCGGGGUCCUGGGAUCGAGUCCCGUAUUGGGCUCCCUGCAGGGAGCCUGAGUCUCUCAUGAGCAAAUAAAUUAAAUAUUAAAAAAAAAAUGGUGCAGCUUGCUCAUGGGUUGAGUGUUGGGGGUACAGGAAGGAGGAGGUUCAAGGAUGUUCCUGGAUUUGGGGCUUGAACCAACAGGUGAGCAGUGGUUCUGUUCAUGGAAAAGAAGAGCUGGAGGGAAAGGCGGGCUUUGUGUUGGGCUUGUUGAAUUUGAGGAGCUUCUCCCAUGAGCAGGUGGGAGGUCGUGUGGGCAGGUGGACGUCGGUGCAGAGAGGCCAGGGCUGGAGACCUGGCCUGGGGAGUCAGGGUAUUUGGGGGGCGGGUGUGAGUCUGGGGGGUCACCGGGAGGGUGUGUGGCCGGAGCAGAGGGGCCUGGGUGAGAUCUGGGCCACCAAGUUUUCGUGCUUGGCAGAGGGGGACGGAGGGGGCCUCACAGUCCAUGGAGGAAGGCCCCGAGCCCCCUGCUUACCCACAGAGCCUCAGUUUCCCCCGGCAGCAGGCGGCUCUGCCUCCGAGGGCUGGUGUGAGGAUCCAUAAGGUAGUCGCUUGGCGCGGGGUGCCUGGGGCGCCGGCAGGGGUGACCCCUGAGCCCCAGGCCGAGGGAGCGGCUUGCAGGCCUGUGAGGGUGGCGCAGUCCGCGGUGGCCGAGGGGUUCAACACCUGUUGCCUGGCCCUCACUGUCCCGCACGCGCGCCCGCAGCCUCCUGCCCGGGGAGGCCCUCCAAACCCCUGCCCUUGGGCGGGCAGCGUGCAGUCGUGUCCUCGCCGGGCUCCCAGGCCCCGCGGGGCGCCAAGCCCCACCCCCCCGGCCUCCAGGGGCUUCCCCGUGGUCCCCCAGGUUGGCCUGUGGCCUCCAGGGCGGCGCGUGUGCGGUUGGGUGGCCGCCGGGGGUGACGCGCGGCGGGUCAGCGCGCGGGGGGCCCGGGCGGGGUGUGGGCCCGAGCCCCCCGCUGACCCCCCGGCCC
This 3726-nucleotide long non-coding RNA is filed under the name Canis lupus familiaris (dog). Its description in RNAcentral is "lncRNA (ENSCAFG00030000113.1)". Lineage: Eukaryota; Metazoa; Chordata; Mammalia; Carnivora; Canidae. The record is from RNAcentral.